GCCAAUGCGAGGGAGAAUUUUGGUGGGGGGAAAGAAAUUUUGAUAUUUCCAAGGACAAUUGCAAGCGCAGAGGUCAAGGUCUCCAGCCUUUGAACUCUAUGCUGUGUCUCCCAGGACCCCUUAGGUGCUCCCACUACUACGUGACAGUCAGUCCACACUGCUGGAACCUGUGGACUGGAAGCAGCAGCAGAAGCAGGAUCUAUCAAUUUUCUACCAGAAAACACCGAUUGGAGUAACUGGGAACAUUUACUAGAGUGUAUCAACAUUAUCCAAGUUUUUGCUGAG
This is a long non-coding RNA of Hirundo rustica (Barn swallow), 285 nucleotides long. RefSeq lists it as uncharacterized. The record is from RefSeq and is a predicted model, not a curated record. NCBI's taxonomy places the organism in Eukaryota, Metazoa, Chordata, Aves, Passeriformes, Hirundinidae. The transcript is spliced from 3 exons.